AGCUGUUAUGGUUCUCAGUGGACAAUAUAUUAGUACACUCAGCUGGCCAUUUGAACAUGGGACUUGCUGUUGAGCUUUCUCCAGUAGAAUCUGAAUUAAUGGGGCAAUAGGAUCAGGUAAGGAUCAUACAGGGAAAAUUCAGUUCAUUCUUCUGUCAGUCCUAGAGCUGUCUAGGGGAUUCCCUCCAGGAAUGUAAAAACUGGUAAUGUCACAUGCUUCAUGUACAGCCUGUUGAUGGUAAAGUGCCUUGUUGAGACCACUGUAAGCUGGGGAUUUGUGGUAUUCUUGCUGCUUGGGUCUAGUCUAAGCACAAAAAUUCAGUAGGAAGUCUUUGGUGCAGUAAAUGAGAACAUUGGCUAGACUGAGUUUUAUUGUUAUUGUAAUUAAGCUCCUCUGCUGCUGUCAUGGUGUAAAUUUCAUUUAUGCUCAGAGCGUCUUUAUGCAGUCAGAGUGUUUAGGAUAAAUGAGCACUAUUUGCUGUAAAUCUGACACCAGGUUGAUGGGUGGGCUGUUUUUUUGGUGUAAGCUUCUCCAUCCACCAGUGCAAGCUGAAGCAGUAGCCUUUGAUAUAUACAUCCAAACUGGUUCUGGCUUAGUCCCUGCCAGAUUCAACAGUGCUGCUCAGAUCUGAUGAGAGCCUAUUGACUGCAAUGCAACUGUUAUCUUAGUACAGGAAGCACAUUAAAAAUGAUUUAGGAUCCUCUGCAACAAACAGAUUGGGUAUGAUGCAGCAGCUAACUGGCUUCUUGAAGCAAAGUAUUUAACAUCCUUCCCAUGUGCUUUGUAUUGGCCUUACUUGUUUACCUCAACAGUAUAACUCUUAUCUUCUUACUUCCAGGUAAGGUAAGUCAAUCAAAGAAAUGUAUCUGGGACGUGGAAGGGAAUUUUACCCUCCCUUAUGGAUCAGCCCCUCACUUACAAAUAACAACCUUUAUAUUGUUCUGUGUGAUUUUAGUUUGCCUAGGAAAUGCAACAUUUUAAGCUGUUGUUUCUUACCCUUUCAGAUUGCCUUUAUAGAAUGUUUUAACCUAGUCUUAGAAAUCGCUGUUUGGAAUUAGCAAGGCAGAAGAUGUCAUGCAACAUGUGAGAUGAUUUCAUUAAUCUGUCUGCUGAGCUGAUAGCCAUUUUGGUUGAGCAGAGUUAAUCCUAUUACUAGACUUCACUGUCUGUAUGAACAUCUAUAAAGAGUAAACAUGCUUUGAAAGAAACUAUAUUUUCUAGGAUGAAGGGGAAAGUAUGUGUGGGAUCUCCAACAUUCAUGAGUUCACCUGCUGCAUUAAUUAAUGAAGUUCUUAGGUAAUAGAGUGGAGCGAAACAUUAUGCAGAAGGCAAAGGAGGUUAGUGCUGGAAAGGGGGUAAAAUAUUACAAUUAGAUAAAGUCAGCAAAUCUUGCACAUCUGGUCUCUCUUUGUCAUUUCCACAGUGAGUGUUUUCAUGUGUUUAUCUUGACAUAAAUAACUAAAGCAGAAUCCCUAUUAAGUAAUUUAAAUUGAAAAAAAAACCCACUGAGUUUUCUGUUAGUUGAGUUUGAAAUUUGUAGUUUAUAAUUUCUGAUUUGUGUCUAGGCAAUUUUUAAUCCACUUUUCUCUAUUAAAAAACUCUUUCUGUUUUUCUGCAUUCUACAGUCUUACCACAGACUUUCUAUGUACUUAUUCUGGCUUAUGCAUUGUUGCUGACAAUUCACACUUAGGAUACAAACUGGUCAGGUCCAUUGCUGUUCCUCUAAAGGUAUGAGGGCUAGACAGUGCAAAGCAAAAUAGGUACACUUUUUCUUUUGGUCAUGUUAUUUCAAUAGAAGUUCACAAGCAUAUGAUGUCCAUGACUCAAUGUUAUGUUCAUAGCUAUACUGGUUUUUCUGUGUUAGUAUUAGCAUUAAGAGUUUUGGGAUUUCUUUUCUCCCCAUUUUCUCCUUAGUAGAAAACCUCAGCAAUGUACAAUCUUAGAAGAGAUUUUCCUGGGUAGAUCAUCACCAUUUGAAAUAAUCACUUUUCAGGAUGUAACUUCAGGCUAGAAGAAGUUUUUGUCUUUAAUGGUUUCAGUAAGUAUCCAAAAUGGAUUUGUGUCUACCAUUUGAACAUCUGACAGCUCAUGUAAGAGGGGAGAAAGGUACAAAAAGAUGAUCAAUGUUUAGUGGUUCACAGAGUGUCUUGUACCACAGGAGGAGGGAUUCUUCUGGUACCAAGGGACAAACUCCACAUUUCGAAGUGCGAGCAAGACCUUGUGGUUUUUCUGAAUUGAUGUAAUUGCAGAUACAUUAACCAUUAAUCUACCUUCUCCUUUUCUCAGUCUUCUGAGAUGUACUGACCAUUUUUCAGUACCGAGUUAUGCUAAAACAUUUUGAAAUAAAGUACUUGGCAAGAACAAUUUUUAUUUCCUGUGAACAAGAUAAGAGCUGCAAGCACAUGAGAACACAAAUAAUUGUGUUAACACACAAGUGCUAUGUUAGAGCACCAGCAAUAUGAUAAUUUACAUCUUUUUGUGACUUUACAGUCUGUUGUUUCAUCUUAGUGGCAUUGCUAUAAAAUUGUGUGUGAGAGGAGUGUGUACAUUUCAGACAAAUCGGAUGCAUGAACCUGCUUGUGAACUUCAGUGACAUGGCUCUUGGGUAUGUGAGUAUCUACAUAACAUCCUUUUACAAGGUUCUCUACCCAGGCAGCAGUGCCCUGCAGCAGCCCAACUCUUUAAGCAGUAAGCCAGAAAUGCUGGAAAACUGAAUGUCUGAAAUUAGGCCUGUGCCUCACACCUCCCUCUUCUUGAAUUCUCCACAGCUGCAUACAACUCUUCUUAGACUAGAAGUGACUUCUGGAUCUUUCAGAAGACUGGAAAUACGCACUUCCCAGUGAAACUGCACUGUUGUGAAGCUGCAAGUUAACACUUUGACCAGUGACAGUUUUAUAUGCAGAAAUCUGCCACUGAAGGGAGAUUGCCUGAAAUUUAGGCCAACCAAAAUUAAAAGGAAAUCUGUCUCCGGGUGGGAAUUUGAGCCUAAGGGAAAAUACUUACAUAGCAGGCUGACUCUUUUUUUUUUUUUUUCCUUUGAAGCUGUUCUUAUGGUUUAGAGUGUUAUGGUAAGUCCUGGUAGAGUGCCUAGUGGGCAACAGUAGAGACAGAGAUAUGUGGUAUUUAUUGUCCUUCCCUGAAAUGUAAUAUAUGGGUGUCAGCUCCAACAAAACAGCAAAGGCGUAUAGACAACAAAGAAAUAAGAUAGGCUGCUGAAAGAGGUGCAGUGUUCUUGGGAAACUAUUCAGUGCACAGACAAUUAUUGUGGCACUCAUUUCUUUGCAUUGUUAUGUAUCAUUCUCUUCUGUUUGUUUUUUUUUUUUUUUUUAAGAUCAUGAAAAGAUGCAUACAUGUUUCUUUUUCUUCCUUUUUUAUAGGUGUCACAUUACAAAUAAGUAACUGGUCACUGAUAAAAGAAAGAAGAGAAUUUAACAAAACUGGCUAGAGGCCACCUCAGAUUUUCUGCCCUGGCCUGUCAUUGGGGAGUUUGUUAUUAAUCAUGUGCCUACAGUUACUCUCUUUGAAACUUCAUUAGAUGUAAUGUCCUGAUUUCAGUGCAGUAAUGAAGGUAUAAUUGCUAAUUGUAAGUGAAAUCUACUUUGUGUUAAUGUUUUACUUUGAACCAAUGCCUUCCCGCUUCUGUUGUGUUCCUUGAAACCCAGCUAAUAAGUUAUGCUGAUCUGUAGAACUUCCAAUUUUAACUUUGGUGUGCAGUCUUUGGUCUCCCAGCAGUGACAGUGUUUAUUUAAACAAGCCUGAGUGUACCUGCUUAACAAAAUCCUGAGCCAAAUUAAUCAUGGCAGUGUCUGUAAUCACAUCACUAUAGCGAUCUGGUUUCCCAGCACCAGGAAUACAGCACACUGAAACUCUAGUGAUCAUCAUGGCUGGGAUACAGCUAGUGCUGUAGCCAGCUUGAGCUUUGUGAACUUGGCAGUUGCUGUUGAGGGAACCUAUCCUGGAAAUGGGAUUUCUAAAGAGGAGAGAAUUCCCAAGGACCAGUGGUUUUCCUGCUGUAGUAAAUUAGCAUAAAACCCACAUGAAGGCCAGAAGGACCUAAGACAUUUGUGUCAGAUUUCCUGAAUGCUUGUCCAGUGUCUCAGAGACUAAGCUGAGGCUAGUUUUCUGUAGCAUUUGGGCAGUGGAUAAUCUUUGGGAUUUCUGCAUAAUGUAGACAUUAACAAAGUUCACCUGUCUUUGAUUAAUCUGGUUUUAAAGAAGUGCAAAGCAGCCACAGCACCUCUUAGUUUCAGGAUAAACUACAAAGAUUCAAAUUUUAAAAACAAAGCUGUGUAAGUGUGAGGCUUGGAAGCUUGGGUAGUUUUGGUUUAUUUUUUUUCCCCUUUAUCAUCCUACUUAAUGGACAACAUCGCUUGGCUUUGCUGAUUAUUGGGGGUUGAAACUAGAUGAUCUUUGAGGUCCCUUCCAACCCAAGUAAUUCUCUGAUUCUAUGAUAAUUUUAAAACUUUGUGUAUGGUACCCCUUAAGAUUAAUAUAAAUGGCCUUACAUGUGUGAGACUGAAGGUCCAUCAAGCCCAGUUUUGUCCCAGCUGUGGCCAUAAGCCUAGGAAAGACCACAAGCAAGUCAAGAUAUAAAAUGCUUGAGUAUUUUCCUUGUCUCUAGUUAUUUUUCGGAAAUAAAUGUCACUUUAACAUAUUUAGUAAUUCUUACUACAUUUUUCUUUCAUGAACUUGAACCUUCUGGUGGAAACAUUUAGCAUCUUCUGGAAAUGGAUUCCAUAUGUCAUCUAGUACCAAGCGUCCUGCCACCACAGUGAGCUUCACAGCCUUCCUAGCCUUCCUCCCAUUAUCCUCUGGGGUGACUUUGGUCCUGAAGACCUUUGCAGCCACAGCUAGUCUCCCUAUCCCAGUUUAGUCACUCAGCAGAAGCUGGGAAAGCAAAGCAGAGCUUUAGGCCACACAAGGCCAACAAGAUUUUGUUUGUUUAUAGGUGAGCUACAGACAAGUAGCUCACCUACAGUGGCUUCAGUUUAUUUUCAACAAAGCAAGAGCUUAUUAGGUCAGCUAAUCCACUUCCUAGCAGCUCAUUGAGCAUAUUGAGCUGUAACUGUUCUGGUGUUAAAACACAGAGGCUGUAUCCUGCUCAGGUUACAUGGUGGGUGGAGGACCUGCCACCAACUUUAAGGGUGAGGAGCCAUGCCUGAAGCAGUCAGCUAGUUGUUAUCCUGUUAAAAAACCCUUUCUACCUUGAAAUAGCUUUUUACUUACCUUCUUUAUCCUCCUGUCCCUUCUUUAUCCCCUCAAACCAUCCUGAGACAUAUUUUUUUCUCCUGACAUUCAUCUUUUUUGGUAACAUUUCAUACCCUCGGUUAUGGGAUUUAUCAUCUGUAUUUUUGGCUUUUCAGCUUCUCCAGAGGGAUUGAGCAUCUGCAUCGCUCAUGAUUCACGUCCACUGUCUCCAUGUCCUACUAGUUUUAGUACUCAGUUUUUAGUCAGUUUUAAUCAGCUAGUGAUGUUGCCAGAAUUUUAUACAUUAGUGAAGUGUGAUUAGCAGCUCUGGAAAGCACCAAGCUUCAUAAUUUAAAAUGCUACAGUUAAAAUUAUAUUUGUACACAUAGUUGCCUUUUGAAGUGGGGCAGUGGGUAGCAGUUUACCAUACUUGUGUAUUUUUAGGUUAACAGCUGCUCUCUGAGUGCCUUCCAUUGUCAGUGGGAGCCACUUCCUUGCACAGGGGCAGGACAGCGCUGCCCCACUGAUCCCAGCGAAGCCGCAGCACUGCCUGGGUAGAGCUGCUUGGGACAGUGACAAGAGGAUUGUGGUAACUUGCUGCUGGUGGUGAAGCGUGGUGCAGAAAGAGGGAACCACUGCCUUGCCAAAAGCAGUGAAUGGUGGCGUCCUUCCUCUGUGGGAGGGAGAAUGUCCCACAGAGUUUUCCCAAAUGGAACCCGUUGGGUCACCAUUGGAGUUGGGCUCCUGCCUGGGUAUGAAAUUCUCAGCUUUCACUGAGCUUGCCCGAUUUUCCUUCUUCAGCCUCUGCAUCUACUGCUGGUAGCAGUGUGAUGUUCUUUAUUGAGAUCAUAAUUUUCAUGUCCUCACCCAUGGUUUUAGUGUCUUUACAUGUGGACCAAAUCUGCACAGACUUCCUCUCCUUCUGAUGGUAAGAUCAAAGGCAGGGUGUUUUUGGAGCAUCUUUUAUCUCGCCUGUGUUACAGGAAAAGCCAGGGAUGCCCACUUUGAACUCCUACCACAUGCCAAAGCACAGCCAUUGAGUCAUUGAGAUCAUAGUUCUCAAUAAACUCUUAAGAAAUUACUUUGCUAAAGUGAUUUCUUAAAAUUUUUAGAGGACUAUUAUGCAUUUUUAUAACAUUUUUUGUUUCACAUUUGAAUAUUUUGAGAUCAUAUGUUUUAAUUGCAGACAUCACUAGGAAAAUUCUCCUAUUUAAAAUCUACUUCUACUUUAUCUAAAAGCUUGAUGUUUCUUCUCCCCCACCACCCAUGAAAGUAAGCGUCAAUAGCAUUUAAAUACGUUUUUGCAAUGCAGAUAUUUCAAAACAUCAGGGAGAUUGCUUCUGGUGGAUAAUCUCUUGAGGUUCUUAAAUAUUCAGGUUCUUCUAAAAUGAAGCAAUCCACUGGGUUUUGUGCUCUUUCAAACACAGACUUACUCAGUUUAGCUCACCAUUUAACCUUCACAAUUUUUUCAGUAAGUGAAUCCAGGUUUGUUAAUCAGUAAAAAUGUGGGAAAAACUAAAUACUAAAUCAGGACUUGAUAAUUCUGAAAGUAAAAUAACUAUUACUUGAAAACAGCUUUUUAUUAUUAAGUUGCUUUACAGAGGUUAGGUUAAACAGAUGUUCACAGAUUUUGGUGGAUUAGCUGAAUGUCAGAGUCAUUGUCAGAGCCACAGGUGCAGCCUAUUUCCUUAUGACAUUAUUUUCAGUCUCUGAGUCCUUUUCUGCUCUGUUUGCUUACCUGUUUAUUAACAAAGAGUGAAAAAAACAUGGUCUUAGAGUAGUGAUACUUCUAGAGCUAAUUGAAGUACUGGGAUUAAGAGACUUCAGGAGAAUGCCAGAACUUGAAAAUGGUGCUGGGAGAUGAUGAUUCACUCAAACAAACACAGAACCUUCCUUGGACAAACUGUUGAGAGAAAGAAAUGUCUGGGGGUUAGUGAAGACUGGCCGUGUGCUUAGGAGGGAGAGUGCUUUUGGCAGGGACCCAAAAAGGUGUCUGCCACAACAGCUGCAUGCUUGCAGGUUGGCUGCUGGUAGUUUACAAGGCUGUAAUGGGCAUCUUCAGGCAAUUUAGACCGGCCCUGAUGUUAAAGAAAGGGUCCUUCUUCCUGUGGGUUGUACUCAUCCACUGCUGCCCUACCUUCAGCUCCAGAGACGGUGUGACUCACUUGUCCAUGAACCCAGUGGAGCAAAUGAAGGUUAUUUCUCAGGUAGAUCAUGCGCUGUCUUCUCGUGUGUUGCUCAUAGAGCCUGUGUCCCUCAUGGGUUUUCAUCUGCUUUAGAAGAGUCAGAACAGACCUUUUUAGGUUUAAUAGUGUCCAUGCAGUUUUUGAAGUCUCAUUCUUAGGGGUCAAGGGCUGAUCAAACAUCCUUCUGCAGAGCUUCAGUAUUACUUAUUGCUCCUCUAGGUAUUCAGUGAUUAUGUUGUCCCUUUUUAAUCCAUGGCACUGUUGGGAUCCCUUUCAGUAAUCUUUCGUUUUACAUCAUGGCUUAGUUGAUUUGCCUAUUUUACUUGGAUUUACUUUCUGGUAAUUAAUUGGAAAUUUUUGUUGAUUCGUAAGUUAACGUAUGCCAUGUUUUAAGAAGAAAACAACAAAAAGUCAUCUUAAGAAGGUUUACUCUUUCUACUUAUGUUAGCUAAUAUAUCUGAGGACCAUUAUAUACUCCUGCUGGCCUCUGUGUGCAUUUCACAGAUGUUUUUAUUAUAGAGGGUCCGGCUGGGAAAUUGCCCCUAUGCAGCUAUGGGGUGUGUUUUUGGGGGGGCUGAGGCUGUUUGAAUAAUUAUGCAUCUGCAGAGUAUCCCAGUUCACACUGAUAUAGCAGUACAUCGUUAUUAAAAUGCUGAAAAAGCAUCUUCAUCUAGUGCACCAUAAAGGUUUUAGGAGAAAUUCCACUCACCUGUAGAAUAGUUAUGGAUCUCAUGGGAGGUGUAUUAUCCUUGCUUGGUGUCUAUAUAUUUUCUGUCCAAACAAUCAAUUUAUGUUGGUGGAGGAAAAAAAAAAAGAGUGAAGAGAAGUUAAUUCUUUAUCUACAAGCACACUCUUUCCUUAAAAAGUUAUUUAAUGAAAUACCUGUCACUCUUCUGCAAGGACAUAAUUUGGUGUAUCUUAUAGUUGGGUCUGGCAGGUGGAAUGAAGAGCUGUUGGGGAUUCACACUACACUGUGGAAAUCCAAAGGAAUUCUGGGAAGCAGAAAGCUUUCCCAGACCACUUUUGCUUCUUGCUUAGGAUGUGAGAAGCCAAAAUGUAAACACAAAUGAAUAUUGGUUAGGCAAUCUGCUUGGAAGAUAAAAGAAGGUUCCUAAUCUUUGCAUAUCCUGUGAUUUCCUUCCAAGACUAACCAGGUCAGAGAAAGAUUUUUUCUUUUCAGUUAGAGCUUCUGUUUAUUGCCCAUGGUCUCUUGCAAUUGUAGGCUGUUUUGAGAAGUUAAAGAGAAUGCAGGAGUGGAUGGAGACAAGUGGGCAAAGCAGCUGCUGCUGGGGGAAAAUUGAGGUCUAAUUUCAGGGAAAGCACCUUAAUGUCCCAGCCAAAUCCAGGACAAAUUAACACUGAGAGAAGAGCUCUCAAAAAGUAAUGAGAAUAGAUCUUAGGAGCCAAAGAAGUGCUAACUUUGGGGGUCAGGUGCAUUGGGAAUGGCUGUUGCACAGAUGGGGGGAAUCAUGUGGAGGCACUGAGACUGCCUGUUCUUGUUCUAUAUUGAAAGCAUGUACGUGCACAGUCAAUAUCUUGUUGAAUACUUUCAAGUUAAGCAUAACUACUAAUCUUGAAUAUUUAAGAGAUAAUGGCUAUGAAGUGAUAAGCACAUACCUGAAAUUUCCAAACAUUUACAGAGUAUUUUACAUGUCAGGAGUGGUUAAAUAAGGAUUGAUAUUUCCAUUUUGCAAUUACGUGGUGGAGGAAAAGAGUCUAAGCUGGAUGCUUUAUCGUUUGCUAGUGGUUGUAGAAGAAAUCUCUGCCAAACCAUGAGGAGCACAUGAAGCUUCUUGCCAUGUGCCAAAUCCAUUCACUAAACUGUGCUCUGAUUUUCCCUAUUUUUUCCCCUUGAAAACUGAGUAUUGUCAGCUCAUCUGAUGAUACAAGAGUAGGAGGUGUCCAAUGUAAUAACCAAAACAGUAAAAGUAUUAGUAACACUUUGAGAUCAAAACUCCUAAAAGUAACUUGAUAAUGAAGCCUGUUCUUUAUUUUUAUAUAUAAUGAGUUUAUUUAUGGUAACAUAUUUAACUAUGUUGUUCAAGACUGAGAUAUAAUUGAUGAUUUCAAGAGAUACAGUGAUGAUGAAGUCUGUGUUCUACCACAGAAGGAAUGAGGAAUUCAUCUGCCUUAAGACUUCUUGGGGGUUUCCAUGUUAGGAAGUAUUUUGUUUGCUAAAAGACAAAAACUUGGUCAGAAACUUAUUGCAUUGCCAGGCACUUACAUACCUUUAAAAUAUACCCACAAUAGAGUUUCUUUUGAUGCAAGUACAUGCUUAUACUUUUCUGUCAAAGUGAGAGAUGCUGAAGUUAGAGAAUUGAUGUGGUUUUCUUUGCCACUGUAGUCUGUAGUUUGUGAUAUCAUCGCAGUUUAGGUUUGUAUCAGUAUUUUUCUGAGCAUUAUUACAUGUCACCCUUUAGACUAAUACAAGGUGUGGUAAUAUCAAU
This is a long non-coding RNA of Corvus hawaiiensis (hawaiian crow), 9820 nucleotides long. RefSeq lists it as uncharacterized. Lineage: Eukaryota; Metazoa; Chordata; Aves; Passeriformes; Corvidae. The transcript has 2 exons. The record is from RefSeq and is a predicted model, not a curated record.